CCUACGGGGGGCAGCAGUGGGGAAUAUUGGGCAAUGGGCGCAAGCCUGACCCAGCAACGCCGCGUGAAGGAAGAAGGCUUUCGGGUUGUAAACUUCUUUUAAGAGGGAAGAGCAGAAGACGGUACCUCUUGAAUAAGCCACGGCUAACUACGUGCCAGCAGCCGCGGUAAUACGUAGGUGGCAAGCGUUGUCCGGAUUUACUGGGUGUAAAGGGCGUGCAGCCGGGAAGACAAGUCAGAUGUGAAAUCCCGCGGCUCAACCGCGGAACUGCAUUUGAAACUGUUUUUCUUGAGUACCGGAGAGGUCAUCGGAAUUCCUUGUGUAGCGGUGAAAUCCGUAGAUAUUAGAAGGAACACCAAUAGCGUAGGCAGGUUACUGGGACGGUUCUGACACUAAGGCACGAAAGCGUAGGGAGCAAACGGGAUUAGAUACCCCAGUAGUC
RNAcentral lists this ribosomal RNA (442 nucleotides) under uncultured bacterium. RNAcentral's name for it is "partial 16S ribosomal RNA". It matches the Rfam family "Bacterial small subunit ribosomal RNA", at positions 338 to 795 of the family's 1533-position model. The record is from RNAcentral.